UUUGCUUGGUUGUUGUUCAAGACUUCUAAGCACCCUCAAGUACCAUAGUUGAUGAUGUUUGAUGAUGAUACUUGUGUACGCUCACAUAGGAAUGGACGAGGCCUUAGUGACUUAACAAAAAUGAAAGUUUAUUUGUUCCUGUUUUGUUUCUAAUUCCAAUGUAAUGUAAUACAUUUAAUUCAAUAAAACGAAACUGUUUAAUCCAUGGUUCUGAAACAAUGAUUCUGUUACAACACUCCCCGACGUUUCCACCACGUUUUGUUGUUUUACGUGGUCGGGGUCUUUUCCCCUUUUGGCCCCUCAUGUUGAGAUUUUAA
Molecule: long non-coding RNA, 317 nt
Filed under: Helianthus annuus (common sunflower)
Lineage: Eukaryota; Viridiplantae; Streptophyta; Magnoliopsida; Asterales; Asteraceae
Description: sRNA HanXRQr2_Chr06g0254701
Source: RNAcentral